UGAAGGAAAGGGUGUUGUGGCCCAAAAAGUUUUUUGUGAGGAAAGUUUCCAACACACCCUCCGGUCUUAGGGCUUUUACCCCGUUUCUUGUUUUGAUCGGGUGAUAUCAGAGGGAUGAGCGAAUGCGCCAAAAGGAAACAUGAAGGCAGUAGCAUCAGUCCGACAAUUGAUGAUCAGUUUCAGGAAAAGGGAGCAUCAUUGGUGGUCGUUGAUGCCGAAGAGGAAGGAGUCUCCGGCGUUUGACGAGGCCGAACAGGGGAGGCAGCGAAGCUUUGGUCUUCAGUUUCUUGUCUGAUCGAAAGGACGAAGACGAACGGAAGUAGAUGACGAAGGAAGGCACUAAAGUUCGUCUAUUGGCUUGCAAGCCGAUAUGGUCUCUGGGGGUUCAAUGAGGCCAGAUGGGAAGGUGGUUGAAGCAACGGAGAUAAGACCUUCCAGCUUCUAGGUGCGAAGAAGGAGGAUCGAUUGGUGACAUCGUAAGUAGAUGGGUCAGUGGUGGCUGGAAAAUCGCGAGAAGGGGUGAGGGGUUCGACAAUGGCUGACUAGGCAAGCCGCAAUCGUUGGGAAAGAUUCUUUGUCUUCAUUUGGUCAGGCUAAGAGGGAAGGAACACAAGGAAGUAGAAAAUCGAUACAGGAGCUCGCAGAUUUGUCGAGAAAAGAAAAGGAAAAUGGAAGCAGAUAGGGUUCGGGUGUGGUGCUCGAUGAGCAAGAUGGGGACGGACUUCCUCCCUCAGGCGACUGUAGAUGAAAAAAAGCGUGGGGAAAAAGAAUAGUGAAAUGCAAGGAUGUAUUUCCUGUUCAUUUGUACAAAAUAUAAUUUAGAAGUAAACUGUGCUUUCAUUUUAAGUGUAAAGGGUAUAAGUUUUAUUUUUAAUAUAUUAUAUAAUGUAUUUAAUGUGUGUGUAUUUGAUUUAAAUAAAUAUGUAUUUGUGUAUGAAUUUACAUAAUGUA
Molecule: long non-coding RNA, 951 nt
Organism: Lactuca sativa (garden lettuce)
Lineage: Eukaryota; Viridiplantae; Streptophyta; Magnoliopsida; Asterales; Asteraceae
Source: RefSeq, a predicted model, not a curated record